UUCCAUUCCAUUCCAUUCCAUUCCAUUCCAUUCCAUUCCAUUUCAUUCCUUUCCAGUUGAUUCCAUUCCAUUCCAUUGCAUUCCUUUCCAUUCCAAUCGGGUUGAUUUCAUUCCAUUCCAUUCCAUUCUAGUCAAUUCCAUUCCAUUCCAUUCCAUUCCAUUCCAGUCCAUUCUAUUCCAUUCCAUUCCUGUCCAUAACAUUCCACUCUGGUUGAUUUCAUUCCAUUCGAUUCCAUUCCAUUCUAUACCAUUACAUUGCACUCGAAUUGAUUCCAUUCUAUUCCAUUCCAUUCCAUUCCAUUCCAUUCCAUUCCAUUGCACUCGGGUUGAUUCCAUUCCAUUCCAUUCCAUUCCAUUACAUUCCACUCGGAUUGAUUCCAUUCCAUUACAUUCCAGUCCAUACCAUUCCAUUCCAUUCCACUCGGGUUUAUUCCACUCCAUUCCAUUCCAUUCCAUGCCGUUACAGUCCAUUCCAUUCCAUUCCACUCGGGUUGAUUCCACUCCAUUCCAUUCCAUUCCAUGCCGUUACAUUCCAUUCCAUUCCUUUCCAUUCCAUUCCAUUCCAUUCCAUUCCAUUCCAUCCGUUUCCGUUCUAUUCCACUGUGUUUGAUUCUAUUCCAUUCCAUUCCAUUCUAUACCAUUACAUUGCACUCGAAUUGAUUCCAUUCCAUUCCAUUCCAUUCCAUUCCAUUGCAGUCGAAUUGAUUCCAUUCCAUUCCAUUCCAUUCCACUCGGAUUGAUUCCAUUCCAUUCCAUUCCAGUCCAUAGCAUUCCAUUCCAUUCCACUCGGGUUUAUUCCACUCCAUUCCAUUCCAUUCCAUGCCAUUACAGUCCAUUACAUUCCAUUCCUCUCGGGUUGAUUCCACUCCAUUCCAUUCCAUUCCAUGCCGUUACAUUCCACUCCAUUCCAUUCCGUUCCAUUCCAUUCCAUUCCUUUCCGUUCCAUUCCAUUCCAUUCCUUUCCAUUCCAUUCCAUUCCAUUCCAUUCCACUCGGGUUCAUUCCAUUCCGUUCCAUUCUAUUCC
Molecule: long non-coding RNA, 1024 nt
Filed under: Homo sapiens (human)
Lineage: Eukaryota; Metazoa; Chordata; Mammalia; Primates; Hominidae
Description: HSALNT0161618
Source: RNAcentral